RNAcentral lists this ribosomal RNA (459 nucleotides) under uncultured bacterium. RNAcentral describes it as "partial 16S ribosomal RNA". It matches the Rfam family "Bacterial small subunit ribosomal RNA", at positions 338 to 795 of the family's 1533-position model. The record is from RNAcentral.
CCUACGGGAGGCAGCAGUGAGGAAUAUUGGUCAAUGGCCGGAAGGCUGAACCAGCCAAGCCGCGUGAAGGACGAAGGUGCCAAGCAUUGUAAACUUCUUUUGUCAAGGGACAAAAUCAGGCUCGAGAGCCUGACCGAGGGUACUUGAAGAAAAAGCAUCGGCUAACUCGGUGCCAGCAGCCGCGGUAAUACGGGGGAUGCGAGCGUUAUCCGGAUUGAUUGGGUUGAAAGGGGGCGUAGGGGGACUGUUAAGACAGCGGUAAAAGCCCGGGGCUCAACCCCGACGAGCCGUUGAAACUGGCUGUCUUGAGAUGUCGAGAGGUGUGCGGAAUGCGCAGUGUAGCGGUGGAAUGCUUAGAUAUUGCGCAGAACUCCGGUUGCGAAGGCGGCAUACCGGCGGCGAUCUGACGCUGAGGCACGAAAGCAUGGGUAUCGAACAGGAUUAGAUACCCGGGUAGUC